Haliotis rubra (blacklip abalone) is the source of this 372-nucleotide long non-coding RNA. RefSeq lists it as uncharacterized. The record is from RefSeq and is a predicted model, not a curated record. Lineage: Eukaryota; Metazoa; Mollusca; Gastropoda; Lepetellida; Haliotidae. The transcript is spliced from 3 exons.
GUAACGGAGUUGUCAGUAUGAACUGUGAGUUGAUUACAUCCUGUAUGGUAUCAAGACAUAAACUUUACAUUAUCAUGCGUCGGAGGAAUAUCUUAAACAAUGACUUAUGUGUAUAUCAACCGUUCCUAUACCUGUUCCUGUACAUUGAAUAGAAAGGACACGUGUCGCCAUUUGCAUUCAUGAAGCCUUGCAAACGUUCCAUGUUGUACAUUGUUUCAACGAAUGUGUUUUGGUUCUGAUUGUCAUGAUUUGAUAACAUUGGAAUCACAAUGCCCGUAGCUGGAAGUGGGCCUUCAUCAUGUUUAUCGGUGAAAAAUGUCAUCUUCAUCAAUUCAUCAAAGAAACAACGAGACAAAUCGAUGUCACAAUGGG